Molecule: ribosomal RNA, 444 nt
Filed under: Papilio arcturus arcturus
Lineage: Eukaryota; Metazoa; Arthropoda; Insecta; Lepidoptera; Papilionidae
Description: partial 16S ribosomal RNA
Source: RNAcentral
UUUUUGAAAAUAAUUUAAAGUCUAAUCUGCCCACUGAUNAAAUUAUUAAAGGGCUGCAGUAUUUUGACUGUGCAAAGGUAGCAUAAUCAUUAGUCUCUUAAUUGGUGACUUGUAUGAAAGAUUGGAUGAAAUAUAUACUGUCUCUAUUUAAUUUAUAAAAUUUAAUUUUUUAGUAAAAAAGCUAAAAUGAGUUUAAAAGACGAGAAGACCCUAUAGAGUUUAAUAAUUUAUUUAAUUAUUAUUAAUAUAUAAAUUUUAAAAUUAAAAUUAAAUAAAUUAUUUUGUUGGGGUGAUAGAAAAAUUAAAUUAACUUUUUUUUUAUUUCAUACAUUAAUUUAUGAAUAAAUGAUCCAUUAAUAAUGAUUAAAAGAAAAAAUUACCUUAGGGAUAACAGCGUAAUUUUUUUUUUUAGUUCAAAUAGGAAAAAAAGUUUGCGACCUCGAU